This 171-nucleotide small nuclear RNA is filed under the name Zalophus californianus (California sea lion). Its description in RNAcentral is "U2 spliceosomal RNA (ENSZCAG00015018411.1)". The stretch from base 1 to 144 matches the Rfam family "U2 spliceosomal RNA". Rfam says of the family: U2 is a small nuclear RNA (snRNA) component of the spliceosome (involved in pre-mRNA splicing). Complementary binding between U2 snRNA (in an area lying towards the 5' end but 3' to hairpin I) and the branchpoint sequence (BPS) of the intron results the bulging out of an unpaired adenosine, on the BPS, which initiates a nucleophilic attack at the intronic 5' splice site, thus starting the first of two transesterification reactions that mediate splicing. The record is from RNAcentral. Lineage: Eukaryota; Metazoa; Chordata; Mammalia; Carnivora; Otariidae.
AUCGCUUCUCGGCCUUUUGGCUAAGAUCAAGUGUAGAAAUGGACUGCCUGAUGAGGAUGUGAGAGGAAAAUAUUAAAUUAUUAUUGUGAGAGAGCAUAUCAUAUUCGACUUUGGACAAAUGAUAGGAAAAGCAGAAAAUCAUUUAAAGAUGAUGUAUGUUUCUCAGAGUCC